This 1433-nucleotide ribosomal RNA is filed under the name Staphylococcus aureus. RNAcentral describes it as "partial 23S ribosomal RNA". It matches the Rfam family "Bacterial large subunit ribosomal RNA", at positions 453 to 1890 of the family's 2925-position model. Lineage: Bacteria; Bacillati; Bacillota; Bacilli; Caryophanales; Staphylococcaceae. The record is from RNAcentral.
CCAUCUCCUAAGGCUAAAUACUCUCUAGUGACCGAUAGUGAACCAGUACCGUGAGGGAAAGGUGAAAAGCACCCCGGAAGGGGAGUGAAAUAGAACCUGAAACCGUGUGCUUACAAGUAGUCAGAGCCCGUUAAUGGGUGAUGGCGUGCCUUUUGUAGAAUGAACCGGCGAGUUACGAUUUGAUGCAAGGUUAAGCAGUAAAUGUGGAGCCGUAGCGAAAGCGAGUCUGAAUAGGGCGUUUAGUAUUUGGUCGUAGACCCGAAACCAGGUGAUCUACCCUUGGUCAGGUUGAAGUUCAGGUAACACUGAAUGGAGGACCGAACCGACUUACGUUGAAAAGUGAGCGGAUGAACUGAGGGUAGCGGAGAAAUUCCAAUCGAACCUGGAGAUAGCUGGUUCUCUCCGAAAUAGCUUUAGGGCUAGCCUCAAGUGAUGAUUAUUGGAGGUAGAGCACUGUUUGGACGAGGGGCCCCUCUCGGGUUACCGAAUUCAGACAAACUCCGAAUGCCAAUUAAUUUAACUUGGGAGUCAGAACAUGGGUGAUAAGGUCCGUGUUCGAAAGGGAAACAGCCCAGACCACCAGCUAAGGUCCCAAAAUAUAUGUUAAGUGGAAAAGGAUGUGGCGUUGCCCAGACAACUAGGAUGUUGGCUUAGAAGCAGCCAUCAUUUAAAGAGUGCGUAAUAGCUCACUAGUCGAGUGACACUGCGCCGAAAAUGUACCGGGGCUAAACAUAUUACCGAAGCUGUGGAUUGUCCUUUGGACAAUGGUAGGAGAGCGUUCUAAGGGCGUUGAAGCAUGAUCGUAAGGACAUGUGGAGCGCUUAGAAGUGAGAAUGCCGGUGUGAGUAGCGAAAGACGGGUGAGAAUCCCGUCCACCGAUUGACUAAGGUUUCCAGAGGAAGGCUCGUCCGCUCUGGGUUAGUCGGGUCCUAAGCUGAGGCCGACAGGCGUAGGCGAUGGAUAACAGGUUGAUAUUCCUGUACCACCUAUAAUCGUUUUAAUCGAUGGGGGGACGCAGUAGGAUAGGCGAAGCGUGCGAUUGGAUUGCACGUCUAAGCAGUAAGGCUGAGUAUUAGGCAAAUCCGGUACUCAUUAAGGCUGAGCUGUGAUGGGGAGAAGACAUUGUGUCUUCGAGUCGUUGAUUUCACACUGCCGAGAAAAGCCUCUAGAUAGAAAAUAGGUGCCCGUACCGCAAACCGACACAGGUAGUCAAGAUGAGAAUUCUAAGGUGAGCGAGCGAACUCUCGUUAAGGAACUCGGCAAAAUGACCCCGUAACUUCGGGAGAAGGGGUGCUCUUUAGGGUUAACGCCCAGAAGAGCCGCAGUGAAUAGGCCCAAGCGACUGUUUAUCAAAAACACAGGUCUCUGCUAAACCGUAAGGUGAUGUAUAGGGGCUGACGCCUGCCCGGUGCUGGAAGGUUAAGAGGAGUGGU